AAGUUCAGGGCGGAGUUACAGUGCUGCUCAGAUUUAAAUCAACCAAUUGAUAUAAGCCAGGAUUUCCUCUUCUUCGCGCAUGCUUUACGUGUUUGACAAUGGUUUUAUCUCCUGUACUUUCAGUAAUUAAGACACAAAACGAUUAUGAACCUAUUUUAAGAAAAAAGUAUGACUAUUAUGGGUUGAUGAGACUGUGAGACCAUUACUGCCAUUCCUCCAGAAAACAAAGCCACAGGAUAUUUAAAGCCAUCAAUCACACAACAAAAGCCAUUGGAGCUCGCCAAAGUAAGGUCAUAGUCCUCCACAGUGCUACAAGCCAGCGGCAAGAUCCACUGAGUUGACAAAUGUGACGGUCACUGUUGCUGUUUCAAAGAGGCCAACAGAAAGACGUCGAAGGCAGUUUACAAACACACCCAGGCUCUCGAGGAAAAGUCACUGGCUGCCCUGAAAAUACAGAGGUGUACAGGUGCUAUGUCACUCUCUAAGGGCCCUGACAACCCCUGGAGCCCCCAGUUUUCUGCACUAUCACUGUAAUAAAAGCUUGUCUGUCUUUUUGCCGCUUAAGCAUUUGAAGAGCCAUUUCUCAUUAAAUGGAGAGUGUGACUGUUGUGUGACUCCAUUAUUUUGUCCCUGGAUAAAACCGAUCAUGCCAUUUCUGAGGUUGUAAAAGAUUACACACACGCAGUUCAAGACUGCAUGUGAGCUUUCCUCAUCAUUGCAUCUUAUUUUGUCAUUCAAAUUCUAUGCACUACAUAAGAUAUCAUGUACUACUGUUAUUCAUUUUUAUUGAUCUUGAUCUUUCUGUAAUGUGUAAGCUAUUUGCUUGUAUUUUUUUGUGCUGUAUUGUGGAAGGUGAAGUGCGUUCUUUUUAUUAUUAAUGUACACACUUUCAUAUUUAUUGCAUAAAUAAACCUUGUUCUGACAUCA
Molecule: long non-coding RNA, 927 nt
Organism: Scatophagus argus
Lineage: Eukaryota; Metazoa; Chordata; Actinopteri; Scatophagidae
Exons: 5
Source: RefSeq, a predicted model, not a curated record